RNAcentral lists this ribosomal RNA (417 nucleotides) under uncultured bacterium. Its description in RNAcentral is "bacterial SSU rRNA". It matches the Rfam family "Bacterial small subunit ribosomal RNA", at positions 506 to 921 of the family's 1533-position model. The record is from RNAcentral.
CGCCAGCAGCCGCGGUAAUACGUAGGUGGCGAGCGUUGUCCGGAAUUACUGGGUGUAAAGGGCGUGUAGGCGGGUUGGCAAGUCAGAUGUGAAAUCCCAUGGCUUAACUGUGGGGCUGCAUCUGAAACUGCUGAUCUUGAGUAUCGGAGAGGAAAGUGGAAUUCCCAGUGUAGCGGUGAAAUGCGUAGAUAUUGGGAGGAACACCAGUGGCGAAGGCGACUUUCUGGACGGUAACUGACGCUGAGGCGCGAAAGCGUGGGGAGCAAACAGGAUUAGAUACCCUGGUAGUCCACGCUGUAAACGAUGGAUACUAGGUGUAGGGGGUAUCGACCCCCCCUGUGCCGCAGUUAACACAAUAAGUAUCCCACCUGGGGAGUACGGCCGCAAGGUUGAAACUUAAAGGAAUUGGCGGGGGAC